RNAcentral lists this long non-coding RNA (1357 nucleotides) under Nicotiana tabacum (common tobacco). RNAcentral describes it as "long non-coding RNA (NTAB_LNC014529)". Lineage: Eukaryota; Viridiplantae; Streptophyta; Magnoliopsida; Solanales; Solanaceae. The record is from RNAcentral.
ACUUAACUGAUCAGCAACCGAUCAGUGUCAUGAAGCAGCCUAAUCCAAGCUCUUUGCCUAACGCAGGGUUAAUACCAAGCCAAGACAAAGGUCCUGAACUAAAGUUGACGUACACGAAAAUAGUGACAAGUAAUCUCCCACCUGAAGAAAAGCCAAAGGACGGGGAAAUAACUGAAACAAUUCAAUAGGACAAAUAUGAAGAAGAGGAGGAAGAUUUCCCAAUAUGGGAACGUGUAAUAUCCAAAAAACAAAAGAUCAGGUCCGUCAAGGGAAGAAACAAAGAUACUCCUAAGAACAGGAACUAGUCUACUGAAGCUGGUGUAUCGUUGCUACAUUUUCAUGGUUCUUUAAACACUUCCCUCUUUUUUUCCGCCAUUUCAAUAUCCAGAGAGGAUUAAGAGUUUACUCUUUCCCAGUUGUUACUUUCAUAAAUACGCACUAGAGGAAGAGGGCAUUUUUUCACUUCAUCUAGUGCUAAAAAAUUUAUUUCUGAAAGUAACAAUUAGGAAAGAGUAAAUUCUUAAUCCUCUCUGGAUAAUUUGGGGGAGAAAUGGGGGAAAAAAGAAGGAAGAAAUGAACCAGAGGUAGCAGUUUUCUCUCCCUUUUGUUUUUUGGGUGCUGAACAUUUAUGUUUGUGUUUGAAAUUUAAGUACUCCCUUUUCUCUGUUACUGUCGCAUAGGCCUUCAUUGGAAUUAAGUUUUGCGUAAUAUUUUUUGCACACUUUUAUCAUGGAUGAAUUAUUUUCCUACUUCUUUCCCACAUCGAUCUGUAAAUCGAUUUAACUUUUAAUGACAAUAAUACUAUAAUAAUUUUUAUAUUAUCGAUGUAAUUUGACAUAUUGUGUGGUUUUACAUUGUCAAAGGGUGUAAAGUUAAACUCUUAGAACUUGUAGCUGAGUCUACUGGUGAAAAGCAACUAGAUGUUGCUGAUAGAGGAACGGUUUUUGUGUUAUGAAGAAGUAUUCUGAAAGCAAAUGAUAAACAAAUUUACAAGAAAAAUAAGAUAAAUUUGCUAAUAAAACAGACCAAAUCACUAUCCGGCAAUUUAAAUCAACCAAAAUUAAGAAAGAUUCAUCAAGUUUAAUCAAAAAACUAUCUUUCAUUGAAAGAAGAUAAUAAGAUUUUGUUCUUGUGAAAUUAAAGAUAAAAAGUCAUUAAAGUGUGUCUUCUUGUGAGUUACCUUUCUCCUUCAUCUUCAUGCUUCAAGCCAUAACCAUGGCUGCUACUUCUAAUGUAGGUUAGUUCCGAAACAGGAAAAAUCACAUACCACCGAUCCUCUGCCACUCGGCCCGCGCUGCUAUCAUUAGGGUGGGUAGGGUGGCGGAGGAAAGAUGGACGAAGGGGGGGAGGGGGCUUU